This 484-nucleotide ribosomal RNA is filed under the name uncultured bacterium. Its description in RNAcentral is "partial 16S ribosomal RNA". It matches the Rfam family "Bacterial small subunit ribosomal RNA", at positions 30 to 507 of the family's 1533-position model. The record is from RNAcentral.
AUUGAACGCUGGCGGCAGGCCUAACACAUGCAAGUCGAGCGGAUGAAGGGAGCUUGCUCCUGGAUUCAGCGGCGGACGGGUGAGUAAUGCCUAGGAAUCUGCCUGGUAGUGGGGGAUAACGUCCGGAAACGGGAGCUAAUACCGCAUACGUCAUGAGGGAGAAAGUGGGGGAUCUUCGGACCUCACGCUAUCAGAUGAGCCUAGGUCGGAUUAGCUAGUUGGUGGGGUAAAGGCCUACCAAGGCGACGAUCCGUAACUGGUCUGAGAGGAUGAUCAGUCACACUGGAACUGAGACACGGUCCAGACUCCUACGGGAGGCAGCAGUGGGGAAUAUUGGACAAUGGGCGAAAGCCUGAUCCAGCCAUGCCGCGUGUGUGAAGAAGGUCUUCGGAUUGUAAAGCACUUUAAGUUGGGAGGAAGAGCAGUAAGUGAAUACCUGGCUGUUUUGACGUUACCAACAGAGUAAGCACCGGCUAACUUCGUG